RNAcentral lists this ribosomal RNA (1520 nucleotides) under seawater metagenome. Its description in RNAcentral is "bacterial LSU rRNA". It matches the Rfam family "Bacterial large subunit ribosomal RNA", at positions 461 to 1977 of the family's 2925-position model. The record is from RNAcentral.
UAAGGCUAAAUACUCCUGAGAGACCGAUAGUGAACUAGUACCGUGAGGGAAAGGUGAAAAGAACCCUAAGUAAGGGAGUGAAAGAGAUCCUGAAACCGUACGCCUACAAGCGGUCGGAGCAACUUUUAGUUGUGACGGCGUGCCUUUUGCAUAAUGAGCCUACGAGUUACUGUUUCUAGCAAGGUUAAUUGAUUAAGUCAAGGAGCCGUAGCGAAAGCGAGUCUGAAUAGGGCGCUUUAGUUAGUAGUAGUAGACGCGAAACCGAGUGAUCUACCCAUGGGCAGGUUGAAGCUGUAGUAACAUACAGUGGAGGACCGAACCAGUUGACGUUGAAAAGUCUUUGGAUGACCUGUGGGUAGGGGUGAAAGGCCAAUCAAACUCGGAAAUAGCUCGUACUCCCCGAAAUGCAUUUAGGUGCAGCGUUGAGUAAAAGUUUUAUAGAGGUAGAGCUACUGAUUGGAUGCGGGGGCUUCACCGCCUACCAAUUCCUGACAAACUCCGAAUGCUAUAAAAUGUUUCUCAGCAGUGAGGGCAUGGGUGCUAAGGUCCAUGUCCGAGAGGGAAAGAACCCAGACCAUCAGCUAAGGUCCCCAAAUAUAUGUUAAGUUGAACUAACGAAGUGAAAUUGCUUAGACAGCUAGGAUGUUGGCUUGGAAGCAGCCAUUCAUUUAAAGAGUGCGUAACAGCUCACUAGUCGAGCGAUUUUGCAUGGAUAAUAAUCGGGCAUAAACAUAUUACCGAAGCUAUGGAUUUACGUUGAAAGACACGUAAGUGGUAGGGGAGCAUUGUAACCUGCGUAGAAGGUGUGCUGUGAGGCAUGCUGGAGUGGUUACAAAAGAAAAUGUAGGCAUAAGUAACGAUAAUGGGGGCGAGAAACCCCCACACCGAAAGACUAAGGUUUCCUCAGCGAUGCUAAUCAGCUGAGGGUUAGUCGGGUCCUAAGGCGAAUCCGAACGGAGUAGUCGAUGGAUAACAGGUUAAUAUUCCUGUACUUCUUAUAAUUGCGAUGGGGUGACGGAGUAAUGAAAGCACCGCGAACUGACGGAAUAGUUCGUUGAAACAUGUAGCUAUUGGAACUGUAGGUAAAUCCGCAGAUCUAGGUGAAGUGUGAUAGUACAACAAAUCUUCGGAUGCGUUGAUAGUGUGCCUAAAGGCUUCCAAGAAAAACCUCUAAGCUUCAGAUUAUAAGAACCCGUACCGUAAACCGACACAGGUAGUUGGGAUGAGAAUUCUAAGGUGCUCGAGAGAUUCAUGGCUAAGGAACUAGGCAAAAUAGACCCGUAACUUCGGGAGAAGGGUCGCCCUGCUUUACAGCAGGGCCGCAGUGAAAAGGUCCAGGCGACUGUUUAUCAAAAACACAGGGCUUUGCUAAAUUGAAAGAUGAUGUAUAAGGCCUGACACCUGCCCGGUGCUGGAAGGUUAAGUGGAGGGUUUAGCUUCGGCGAAGAUCUGAAAUGAAGCCCCAGUAAACGGCGGCCGUAACUAUAACGGUCCUAAGGUAGCGAAAUUCCUUGUCGGGU